AACAAACGCUGGCGGCGUGCCUAAUACAUGCAAGUCGAACGAGGUAGCAAUACCUAGUGGCGCACGGGUGAGUAACGCGUGGAUAAUCUGCCUUGGAGUGGGGGAUAACGAGUCGAAAGACUCGCUAAUACCGCAUAAGACCACAGGAGCUGCGGCUCUAGGGGUCAAAGGUUUUUCGUUCCAAGAUGAGUCCGCGUAAGAUUAGCUAGUUGGUGAGGUAAUGGCUCACCAAGGCGACGAUCUUUAACUGGUCUGAGAGGAUGAUCAGUCACACUGGAACUGAGACACGGUCCAGACUCCUACGGGUGGCAG
This 312-nucleotide ribosomal RNA is filed under the name uncultured Pseudomonadota bacterium. Its description in RNAcentral is "bacterial SSU rRNA". It matches the Rfam family "Bacterial small subunit ribosomal RNA", at positions 29 to 351 of the family's 1533-position model. Lineage: Bacteria; Pseudomonadati; Pseudomonadota. The record is from RNAcentral.